GCCUACCAAGGCGACGAUCGUUAGCUGGUCUGAGAGGAUGAUCAGCCACAUUGGGACUGAGACACGGCCCAAACUCCUACGGGAGGCAGCAGUGGGGAAUAUUGGACAAUGGGCGCAAGCCUGAUCCAGCAAUGCCGCGUGUGUGAAGAAGGUCUUCGGAUUGUAAAGCACUUUCGGCGGGGACGAUGAUGACGGUACCCGCAGAAGAAGCCCCGGCUAACUUCGUGCCAGCAGCCGCGGUAAUACGAAGGGGGCUAGCGUUGCUCGGAAUGACUGGGCGUAAAGGGCGCGUAGGCGGAUGACACAGUCAGAUGUGAAAUUCCCGGGCUUAACCUGGGGGCUGCAUUUGAUACGUGUCGUCUGGAGUGAGGAAGAGGGUCGUGGAAUUCCCAGUGUAGAGGUGAAAUUCGUAGAUAUUGGG
RNAcentral lists this ribosomal RNA (421 nucleotides) under uncultured bacterium. RNAcentral describes it as "bacterial SSU rRNA". It matches the Rfam family "Bacterial small subunit ribosomal RNA", at positions 263 to 701 of the family's 1533-position model. The record is from RNAcentral.